UCCUGUUGUAAUCCAGGAAC
Molecule: small nuclear RNA, 20 nt
Filed under: Arabidopsis thaliana (thale cress)
Lineage: Eukaryota; Viridiplantae; Streptophyta; Magnoliopsida; Brassicales; Brassicaceae
Description: snRNA_15332
Source: RNAcentral